RNAcentral lists this ribosomal RNA (457 nucleotides) under Capcicada decora. Its description in RNAcentral is "partial 16S ribosomal RNA". The stretch from base 335 to 457 matches the Rfam family "Archaeal large subunit ribosomal RNA", at positions 2542 to 2665 of the family's 2987-position model. Lineage: Eukaryota; Metazoa; Arthropoda; Insecta; Hemiptera; Cicadidae. The record is from RNAcentral.
UGGCCGCGGUAAUUUGACCGUGCAAAGGUAGCAUAAUUAUUAGUCUUUUAAUUGAAGGCUUGAAUGAAUGAUUGGAUGAAAAAUUUACUUUAUUAAUUUAAAUUAUUUAAUUUAUGAUCUAAGUAAAAAUCCUUAGAUAAAUGAAUGGGACGAGAAGACCCUAUAGAGUUUUAUUUUUUUUUUUAUUAUAAAAUUCUAGAAUUAAUAUUUUUAUAAUAAUAAAAAAUUUUUGAUUGGGGUGAUCUUAAAAAUUAUUAAACUUUUAAUUAAUAUUUCAUUAAUCUAUGUUGAAUUGAUCCAAAAAUUUUUGAUUACAUGAUUAAAUUACCUUAGGGAUAACAGCGUUAUUAAUUUGAAGAGUUCAAAUCGAUAAAUUAGUUUGCGACCUCGAUGUUGGAUUAAGAAAAAAUUUUGAAGUAGUAUUUAAAAUAAUGGGUCUGUUCGACCUUUAAAUUCU